This 2796-nucleotide long non-coding RNA is filed under the name Citrus maxima (pomelo). RNAcentral's name for it is "long non-coding RNA (CMAX_LNC002109)". The record is from RNAcentral. Lineage: Eukaryota; Viridiplantae; Streptophyta; Magnoliopsida; Sapindales; Rutaceae.
UUGAAUAGCCAUACGUGGCUUCAUUUUUUUCCCACCUACAAGUACAUUAAAUCAAUUAGUACACCACAAAAAAAUAAGUCUUGAAAUUUAAAAGCAAAAAUAAUCAUAAAUUAGUCAUAUGUUACCUCAUGAUUACAAGUUGUAAUUAACUUGACAACAUACGUAGCCCAUUGAUCAUGAAGUCGUGAGACCUCUUUCAUGGCGUAUUCAUCAAUUCUCUUGAACUUUAAUUUUAAAACAACAAGUUAUUUACCAAAAAUCAAAUUGUAAACUACUUAAUUAUCAUUCAUUUAAUAUAUCCAUGUGAUAACAAUUCAAAACAUUUUAUGCGCUUUAAAUGAGCUCCAACAAUAUUACUCUUUUAUCCAAAAUUAUACAGGAAGACAUUGAAUAUCUUGAAGACCAUGCUAAUUAAAAAAAAAAGAUAUUUCAACGAGUGUUGAUCUACAUUAUUAUAUGAAUUACUAUUGUUUACUCAACUUAUAUAAUAAUCUUUGAAGCCAAAACAACUUGUGAACACCAACACUAACCACUUUAAUGCAAAUAUGGAUGUAGAUGCAAAGCCUCAAUCCAUAUGCCUACUAUACAACUCCUCAUAUGAAAUAUAUAUAUAUAUAUAUAUAUAUAUAUAUAUAUAUAUAUAUAUAUAUAUAUAAAUUAGUAUUGCCUUUGUAAAUUAAAAUUAUUUACGGAAAGGAUAGUUAUUUAUUAUUUUACUCCAUCCAUUUUGAAAAUCACAAAAGUAAAUUUCAUUAUCCAUUUAUUAUUCUACUGGAAUGUAAUUUCAAUCAGCCAAAUUCAUAUAAAACAAUAUAGAUAUAGAUUCAAGUAGAAACCAUAAGCCUUUCCUCAAGCUCUUUAACUCCAUAUUCCUUAGCUCCUCAUAUGUAGAAAUGGGCUGCCAAAAAUGAAGUGCCAAGAUUCAUUCAGGCUUUUUAUCAAACAAUUGGAGGGCAUAAAAAAUCUGAAGACAGUGAAUAGUAUGGCAACAUGCAUGUGAUUACCUACAUUCAAGAACAAAACAAAAAGAAGAGGAAUAAAGAUAAAGAUAGAAGAUUGGUCUAAUUAUCACUCAUGUCCUAUAUAACAUGUACACAUUACAAGUUAUCUCACUGCUAAGUCAAUUACGAAUUGUCACUCAUUUGUAAGUCAUAUUGUUAGUGUCUAACAUAUGAAAGUCAUAACCAAGUACUCAUUUGCUUCACAUUACACAGAACAUCUUCAAGAGACUUAAAUAACCCAUGCAUGAAACAACUACCAAUCUACCUACUCUUAACAUGUAGAGGAACAAAGAUAACAGAUUUUGCAUUACACAAAUCAAAAUAGCAAUUCAAUUCAUGUACCUAUAAAAUUUGAAAAUCAAAACACUAUCAAGCACUUAUAUAUUUUAGUCCAUAAACAUUCACCUACAAACUCCAUUUUGCAGCAACUAGCAUAUGGCCUUCCUUCACCAGCAGCAAGCAUAUCUUAUAAAUGAAUAAUGAAUGGACAAGAAAAUCAUUUGCGGCUUGCUUUUAACUUGUGAACAAUUCACUGCUUAACUGCAGGUAAUAAGACAAAUCAAUUCUUUAUUUAGUAACAAGGUUAAGAGUAGAUUUUUACUAAACCAGUUCAAAUAUAUAUUAAUUCAAUACUUCCAAUCAAAAACAGGGGUAAAAAGGCAUGGUGGGUCAUGAAGAAAUGAACUUACGGGAGCAAUAAUAACAAAUUUGGCUUUAUUCUAUAAGCAUCAUAAACUUGGAAUUAGAGAAAUUAAAGAUGUUAGAGUCAUUAAAAAAAAACAUGAAAAGCAUAAGAGAAUUAUAUAGGCAUAAGGGUUCCUAUUAGCAAGGACUUGGGGAUAAUCUUUACAAAAAAUGUAUUUUUUUAAACAUAUAAUGCUUAUGUUUAAGCCCGUGAUUCACUCACUCACGACAAGGGUUUGGGUUUCCUGGGUUAUGAAGGGUUUGUUGGUGGCAGAGAGUGUCGGCAGUGGGUGAGUGAAGAUUUGGGUCUCGAUUUGUGGGUGGGUUUUGGAUAUUUUCAGCAGCUACGGUUUGGAUUGUGUUGACAGGUAAGCAGAAGUUUCAAUUUAGGACUGACUUCAACUCCAGUGCAGUAAAGAGAGACGACUGCGACUCAACGGCGAGCCAGCGCCAAUAAGCUAGGUCUGUCACAGAGAGAGAGAGAGAGAGAGAAAUGCUUGUACUUUGGACUACCGGUGAAUGAAAAUAUGGAAAAAUAAGAAAAAAAACAAAUUCAAAUUAUAAUUAAAUAAAAGAAAAAAUAUAUGGAAGACAAAACCCAUUAGCAUCACACUAUUUGUAGAAUUUCUCAACAUCUGAAAAAAUCCAAAAAAUUAAAUAAAAAAAUUAAUCAUAAGCUAAAUUAAAACAAAUCCAUCAAUUAAAUUGACGAAAAAUAAAAUAUUAAGUCAUUACCAGUUGACAACCCCCUUAGUUCUUUCUCCAAACUUAGCUUGUGAGGGAGAACGAGCUAGAUUACUUGAAUAUGCAACUUAUGGUAGCCACUUCAUCCCUUGUUGGUGGUUAUUACUUGCUUGCCCAGUAGAGGCACUAGAUGUUUAGUUGGAGAAAAAGCCCCUUCUAUAACAAGCAGUUAGGGUUUUGGUUCGUUUUUCAAUUUGGGAAAAUGGAAAAAAGGAAACAAAGUUUUAAUUUUUCAUUAUCUAUUUGGAUUAAUUGAACUUAAUUUGUAAAUAGACAACAGAAAACAGAAGAGAUCGAGAAGAAAACGAAAGAGAAAGAGGAAGAUAAAGGCAAGAUAGCGAUGGAGUUUAAGAACGAUAGCUAGAUG